GAUGAACGCCGGCGGUGUGCCUAAUACAUGCAAGUCGUACGCACUGGCCCAACUGAUUGAUGGUGCUUGCACCUGAUUGACGAUGGAUCACCAGUGAGUGGCGGACGGGUGAGUAACACGUAGGCAACCUGCCCCGGAGCGGGGGAUAACAUUUGGAAACAGAUGCUAAUACCGCAUAACAACAAAAGUCACAUGGCUUUUGUUUGAAAGAUGGCUUUGGCUAUCACUCUGGGAUGGACCUGCGGUGCAUUAGCUAGUUGGUAAGGCAACGGCUUACCAAGGCGAUGAUGCAUAGCCGAGUUGAGAGACUGAUCGGCCACAAUGGAACUGAGACACGGUCCAUACUCCUACGGGAGGCAGCAGUAGGGAAUCUUCCACAAUGGGCGCAAGCCUGAUGGAGCAACACCGCGUGAGUGAAGAAGGGUUUCGGCUCGUAAAGCUCUGUUGUUGGAGAAGAACGUGCGUGAGAGUAACUGUUCACGCAGUGACGGUAUCCAACCAGAAAGUCACGGCUAACUACGCGCCAGCAGCCGCGGUAAUACGUAGGUGGCAAGCGUUAUCCGGAUUUAUUGGGCGUAAAGCGAGCGCAGGCGGUUGCUUAGGUCUGAUGUGAAAGCCUUCGGCUUAACCGAAGAAGUGCAUCGGA
RNAcentral lists this ribosomal RNA (646 nucleotides) under uncultured Lactobacillus sp. RNAcentral's name for it is "bacterial SSU rRNA". It matches the Rfam family "Bacterial small subunit ribosomal RNA", at positions 28 to 630 of the family's 1533-position model. The record is from RNAcentral. Lineage: Bacteria; Bacillati; Bacillota; Bacilli; Lactobacillales; Lactobacillaceae.